AAUAAUAAUAAUAAUAAUAAUGCAAGUCGUUUAUAAACUAGUUACCGAACACACACAGCGUUAGAAUCCCUGAUUAUGAAAGUUAUCCUUAUGCAUUAGUUGACCCUGGAGGUAAUAAAGAUGUCCAGACCGCAUGCCUGACAUGACUAGAUUAUAGAACCCUUCUGUCCGAAUUAAUCGAUUGGAAAAAUUACGCAAUUUUUUUUUUACUUAGUAAUCAAAAAUUGGUCGAAGAGUUUGCACUUUCAGUUGGAGAAUGAUACGUCGGUUAUCUCCAUACCUUAGAUUAUAAUUCUUACCGAUGCGGAUAUAAAAAUCUAGUGUGUUUUCUGUCUUGUCCAAAUAGAGUAUCGGUAUCCGAAGCGAACAUUAUCAUUAUUGGCGAACUCGUGAAAUUAGAGAUGAAUUAAGGAAAAGACUCGAACAAGGAGAGUUGCCGUAGGGAAUGCACUGCAGACCAAGUUCGAAGCAUCUUCGGCAGCCGAAGGGUCUAUAUUGGUCUAAUACUAGGUUAUAGGGACAGAUCACCCCAAGAGGUGAUGUUUCCUUCCAACCUAGUAUCAAAUUAAAUAAGGGGUUAGUCGAGAAGAAAACGGAUGAAAUUACUAGGACAUAGGUAAAAGUAAAUUAUACGUUCGAAAGAUGAUACGAUGUUUGACAGUUUCUGAAAUGUGUUUUAGCCACCAUUUCUUGGCCAAUUUUUAUUAGACGACUGUGAGCGUAAACAGGGGGCGUUUCUACAUGUCAGAUACGUAAUUAUCCCCUUUAUUAUGGCACUUUACCGCUUAAAAGGUUCUAAUCGAUCAUUAGGCCACUUCUCCCCGCACAAUCACCCUCUAUUUGCUGCGGACCACCUGCCACGCGUGUCUAACAAACGGGUUGGUUUCUCCCCUAUCCCCAGGCCCACUGUCAGUAACCAAGGGCACGCAGAUGGUGCUUUGAUAAUUAAUACCGUAUAAGGUCCCAAGAUUGUUCUCUCAAGAUUCUGCGAUGCUUUUCAGAAGACCGUUGAUGUGAUGGAGGGAUUUGGAAGCGGGGAAGGAGGGCUCGUGGCACCUCCAUACCGAUUGAGAGGUACCGAGAUAAUAACGGGCUGUAGAAUAGCAAUUUUCCAGUCGAGACGAACUUAAAGAUCCCGGCAAUUUUCAGAUAAUUCGGCUUUUUCCAGACUUCAUCCGGGUUCGGGUAAUAGAAGACACUCCGAAAUGACUUUUAGGCGGGGAUUCGCUUAUAAGCGCCCAUCUACUUUCGAGUGCGGCUAAGAAGACACCGACAUCACUCGGCUCCUCCCGAUGAUGGAUUUAUACAAACCGAAAUCCGUGUUAACUCCAAAUCUGGAUAGAAAACUACUCAAAUAGUUUAAAAUUCAAUGGAAGGAACUCCGCCCAGACUCUAUCGGAUGCCGGUGUCAAUGGACUCCACCCCACGAGUUUAAUAAUCAGUAAGAGAAUCUAGAUUGUUAGCCGGAUCUGUGACCCUGAGUAAUUUAGGGGAGAGGCGAACAGUCUAUAUUGUCGUAUGAGUAAAUACUCAUUUAAUUCAUUUCUAUCGAAUGGAUAGAGAAUGACGUGCACGUUUGACAUCUCUACUAAAGAUGCACGUUUGGCCGCACAGAAGAAUUAUAAAUCAUAGGCUAGGCUCGGAUGAGGCGGUCCCGUCAGGCGCCAAAUUUCUCGGUUAAGUUCCUUGUCAGGACGGGUCGACUAACCCCGAGCGUCGAUGGCACUGUAUCCCGUCGGCGCCCGAGGGAGACACGCUGAAAUACGCCAUUAGUUAUGCUGGAUUUGGCCACAACAGGCGUUGCCGACACAAACCGGCCAACGGGGAGCGUCAACAGAAUGUUCGACACAUCCCUGAGUUAGAAAAUGGGAAGCAGAAUAAACUUAAAAAUUCUUUGAAUAUUAUCGAAAAGUUGAUACUAUCCACAUAUAUUUUUAAAUUAAAUUAAAUUAUUUUUUAAUCAAUACGACAAAUUAGUAACCGACAGAAAGUCGAGAAACCUUCUAUGUCGGAGAAUUCGCGAUCACCAAUUGACCUCCUCGGCGGAUUUGCCCAGUGAUGAAAUUAGCCUGCUACUAAGUAACCAAUUAACAGUUUAGGCUAAAAUUGAAGGCAAGCAGAAAUUAUAGUAAUUUCUGGUAGAUAAAGUGCGCAUUAUUUAUACAAAACGGACAAAAAAAAGCGUGUUAUGCGAAAGAAAAAUAUGAAAUAUUUCGAUAUUUAAUGAACUAGCUACUCAAAGUAUGGGGCGCUCUCCCUUUGGGGGUUGCGAAAUCAUCUGGGACAGAACAGAAGUAAUGGCGAAAAUUAGUAGAUGUUUUCGAAAACGAUUUCUACGUAAAUACAAUCACGUAAGUUUCAGUUACAGUACCAUAUUGAAUUUUAAUAAACAUUUGCAUAGAUUAUGAAAAAAGAAAAAAAUCGCAGCCCUUGUAUAUUGUUAUAAAAGAACUGCUACAAAGUUUGGAAACUUGUAAUAAUGUAAAUUUUAGUGCACAAAGUUUCUAUAAAGAUCGCGUUAUCAUCAGAAAAUACAACCCUGUAUAUAUGAUCCUUUAGAGUUUAUUUUCAAAACGAAAAGUUUAAACUCGCUUAAAUGCAAGUUUUUCUGUUUCUCACCAUUGUUGAGUUUUCGUCUAUUAAUUCUCGAUGCAAAAAAAAAAAGGAUAAUUAAGGAAAAAAAUUUGGCGGGUUCACGGAUUGUCAGCCCUCGUUAAAUCAGUCGGAGUCUUAUCUGACGCGUUAACAACUCGGCCAGGCGCGGAGCCAAGAGAUUGAACAGAUAGAUUUCGAUAAGAAGCACUUAACCCGCUAUUUAUCCGGCUUCGUAACUAACACGCCACAGGAAUGUUGUCGUCGUUAUGACGUUUCUAUUCUGGGAGGAGGAAAACGUAAGCAUGCCGGAGAAUACCGAAACGGCACACGGGGGACUACGAAGUAAACGAAUCUUAGACGGUGGAAAGUUCUUUUCGAGUUUCCGUCCCGUUUUUCGUUAGAGAUCGGAUCGGAGAUGUGAUCUGUCAUUGGCGGAAAUUUAGUCCCACCUGGAGGAGGCCAGCGCUUCGAUGAUGGGGAAUUCCGAAAUUUAUUCUCAUCAUUAAAUAAGGGUGGAAAGCAGACACACCUGCAAACCUAGAACAGCCGCGCCAUAAAACAUGGCGGUGCUCCUUCUAUUCCGGGUUCUUUUAUGAGCGCGCUAAUCUGGAUGGAAGUAUGACUGUAGCCCUCCAGGGAUCGGCAACAUCUCGGAAUUCUCUCCUCCAUUCCAUAUUAUAACCGAAUAUCCUUUGUUAUAAAUCGUGUCGAAUCAUUUAAGCUCCUUCAAAUUUUUUUAUUUCGAUAUAUUGUUAUAUUGAAAAAAGUUCUAAGUGGAAUGAAUAUGAGACUUGCGAACCUUACUGUUUGUUCUGCUUGGUUCAAAAAACGCGACUUAUGAAGCAGCAGGUGCGAUAUCUCUUAAGUCGCUUAUCAGCCUCGUAAAUAUUCUUUUCACGCUCCUCUGUUUAGUCUACUUCGACUAUCGCCGAACUAGAACAUGAAGAAAAUUAUAAAAAAAUGAAUAUAAAAUAAUUAUGAAAUAACGGGUCUUAUAUUGUAUGGAAGUAAUUUUUCAGGGAGGUCAGAGUACUACUCUCUGAGUCCAUUCUUCAACUCCUGCUGACUCCACAGCGGGUGUGACCAGUUUGUGGUAACACUCCACUGGCCCGUUGCUUAGUUUUUCUGAUGGAAGAGGGCAUAAAAGUCACACUAUUAAUACAUGUUCGGAUUAUUUUGAAUUUAUUCUGUCUUAAGUUAUUCACAGGGGCAAUGUUGGCCACAAGGAAGUUAAAAAAAAUUUAAAAUUUAACUAAUAGAUUGAUCUAAGCAUUACUGUUUGUCUAAUCGAAGAAUGUUAAGUGUUCCUGAUAAUGUUGAGUGCUUUGAUUUUUCAUCGGAAUACUCGAAAACAGGGAAUACUUAGUUAAAUUUAUGGUAGAUUCUUAUGUUCGAAUUUAGUAAACUUAUAUAUCCCAAAGAAUAAUUUAAAAAAAAGCAUCGAUAUGUCAGGGUUAAAAACAUUUUAAUUCGUUACCAAAAAGGAAGAUCAGAAACCUGAUAGACACGUUGUCAUCGACUGGAAAUUCUUAUCAGAUAUGAAGAUUACCGAAAAACGAAAAAAAGGACACGUUUUUAAAAUAGGAAACAAUAGACAUCGAUCCCUUAUCGCUCCAACAUCUGUUUCCCUUGAGGUAUGACAUAAACACCGAGUUUUUUUUUAUAAGGAUUUUGUUUCUCCCCGAAGGAUCGGCAGGCGUGAGAGUUGCAAUCGAUCCGCAUUACAAGCCUGCUGGACUUCUUUUUGACUAUUAUUUACGAAUUUUUGCAUAUUUCGACUAGAAAUGAAAUUCCGUUCAGAGAAUUCUAAUUCGGUUGGCGCUCGUUAAUCAAUGGGCCUCCGGCCCAUUCGGCACUGCGCAAACAUGUCAAGCAGAAGACGAAAGCGAGUGCAUCUGCUACACUCGUCUGCUUGCCAACAUCUAUAAACAGCGGCAUUUCUUGGCAUCGUCCACCGACGGACGCAACCGGAGCGGGACCCCGGUCGGUCCGGGUCCGACAGAUAAUCCUAAUGAGCUUUCAGUCACGUGAUCAGUGAUAGACAAGCUUUUUCUACGUCUGUGGGAGAUGAUGGCAGACGGCCUGGCUCCUCUUCCCAGACACAAUUGGCCUCUGGAUCGUGAUAAAUAACCUUUUUUGUUUCCCGUCUAUAUUUAAUGCGAACUGAAGAGUCGGGGAAGAUAUCGGUUGUUUUACAGCGAAACGAAUUGCGCAUCUGAUGACCAACAAUUCCACCCGGGAAAAUUUAGAACAGAAAGAAUACGCACUGAUUUCUGUAGAACCAAUCGUGUUUGAGAAAUCCGAAAAGAUUCUCGCAACUCCUCCCACUAGUCAUCCAGGGGCGGAGUGCCGAUCGAUGCAUUUGUCAUGGCAGACGCACUUGACGAUUGAGUGUCAGCGUGUCUCAGCCCCUCGUUACACGGGGACAGAUUUGUGCACGUGUUGGCGACACAUGUAAAGACUAUUUAUAGAACGAAAGAACCUCUGCCAACCUCCAAAAGUUUUGCUUGAAUUACAAUCGCUCUUUUCCAUUUCCUCAACGUAUCUGUUGGAAACCAAAUUUGGCUUCCACCACCUGCGACAUCCUGCCCUCCCGCUUUACGAUCGCGACGACAGAUGGAGAGUCCCACUUAUGUCCUAUUGCAAUCGAUUCCGUCCGUCCCUCGACAAUGUUCGAGAGUCUGAUGAAAGAUGACUGACUAGAAGUACCUUUUGGUUUCUGUUUCUCCAAUUUUUCCUUGUACUCAGAUCCCAUGUCUUCUCUACACUCGUUUUAGUGCAUAUACAAAAAGCAGACGUAUUCCCACGUAGCUAUAAAGUUCUCUAACGGAAGCAUUCUAAACAAAUAUUGCCGUGUCUCCAUAUUUAUGUUCUACAAAUUUAUAGUAUAAACAAUGUUAAAGAGGGAAAUCUGGAGAAUGUGCGCUUCCGUUUGAGUUCACUUGAUUUGGAACAUAUGGAAAAUGAGAGAAAACUUUUUUUUAACCCCACUUUUCAAGUUUUCACAGUUAUUGCGACACGAUAAAAUUUUAACUGCAUCUGGGACCACUUUGUAAAGAAGACAUUAUCUUAGUUUCAUGCGAAACUUCCAGAAAAAGAGUCGCAAAUCCAAUGAUUAAUUUUUAUGACAGAGGUCGGUGAAAAUACAUUAUUCACGUUGAGAAUCGUUUAUUUCGCUCGAGUCACGUGGAAACGACAUUUAAUACUGCAUUUGUUUUUUCAGAAGGGAUAUAAAUCCAUUUUACCGAGAAACGAAGCUAUCGGAAGGAUAUUUUAAAACUUCUAGAAUGCGUGACGCUUCUCUUCGAGAGGACUUCAAAACUGCCACUUCUAUCUAUUUAUAAUGUAAAAGCCUCGGGGCGAAUAACUGAUUAAUCCCGACAUAAAUUCCUUCGUAAUCCUCUAAUCCUGCAUCCGUUCCUGCCAUUGCUUUUUUAAAAAUGCCCAUGGCGAUCUUGUGACGUCAGAGAGGCUAUUUACUGACAGCGUUUUCCUUUUCCGCAGCAUGCGAUUGCAAUCUGCACGCCCGAAGGUGUCGCUUCAACAUGGAGUUGUACAAGUUGUC
This 6160-nucleotide long non-coding RNA is filed under the name Androctonus crassicauda. Lineage: Eukaryota; Metazoa; Arthropoda; Arachnida; Scorpiones; Buthidae. The record is from RNAcentral.